AGACCCGAAACCCGGUGAUCUAGCCAUGGGCAGGUUGAAGGUUGGGUAACACUAACUGGAGGACCGAACCGACUAAUGUUGAAAAAUUAGCGGAUGACCUGUGGCUGGGGGUGAAAGGCCAAUCAAACCGGGAGAUAGCUGGUUCUCCCCGAAAGCUAUUUAGGUAGCGCCUCGUGAAUUCAUCUCCGGGGGUAGAGCACUGUUUCGGCUAGGGGGCCAUCCCGGCUUACCAACCCGAUGCAAACUGCGAAUACCGGAGAAUGUUAUCACGGGAGACACACGGCGGGUGCUAACGUCCGUCGUGAAGAGGGAAACAACCCAGACCGCCAGCUAAGGUCCCAAAGUCAUGGUUAAGUGGGAAACGAUGUGGGAAGGCCCAGACAGCCAGGAUGUUGGCUUAGAAGCAGCCAUCAUUUAAAGAAAGCGUAAUAGCUCACUGGUCGAGUCGGCCUGCGCGGAAGAUGUAACGGGGCUAAACCAUGCACCGAAGCUGCGGCAGCGACGCUGAUGCGUUGUUGGGUAGGGGAGCGUUCUGUAAGCCUGCGAAGGUGUGCUGUGAGGCAUGCUGGAGGUAU
Molecule: ribosomal RNA, 575 nt
Filed under: Salmonella enterica subsp. enterica serovar Cerro
Lineage: Bacteria; Pseudomonadati; Pseudomonadota; Gammaproteobacteria; Enterobacterales; Enterobacteriaceae
Description: partial 23S ribosomal RNA
Rfam family: Bacterial large subunit ribosomal RNA
Source: RNAcentral